RNAcentral lists this ribosomal RNA (253 nucleotides) under uncultured Blautia sp. Its description in RNAcentral is "partial 16S ribosomal RNA". It matches the Rfam family "Bacterial small subunit ribosomal RNA", at positions 524 to 776 of the family's 1533-position model. The record is from RNAcentral. Lineage: Bacteria; Bacillati; Bacillota; Clostridia; Lachnospirales; Lachnospiraceae.
UACGGAGGAUUCAAGCGUUAUCCGGAUUUACUGGGUGUAAAGGGAGCGUAGACGGCGGUGCAAGCCAGAUGUGAAAGCCCGGGGCUCAACCCCGGGACUGCAUUUGGAACUGUGCUGCUAGAGUGUCGGAGAGGCAGGCGGAAUUCCUAGUGUAGCGGUGAAAUGCGUAGAUAUUAGGAGGAACACCAGUGGCGAAGGCGGCUCACUGGACUGUAACUGACGUUGAGGCUCGAAAGCGUGGGGAGCAAACAGG